AGACAAACAAUGAUCUAGAUGUCUGAGUAUUUAUUCUUAGACCUGAUCCUGUCACCUUAGGUCGAUCGGUACCUCAGAUUAAAUAUCUAGAAAAAUUGAAAAUCAAUUUGAUAGAUUGAUAAUUUCAGUUCCUAAACUUGUCUAGGUCACACCCAACAAGGGUACUCCUGGGCCAUUAGCUCAGGUGGUUAGAGCGCACCCCUGAUAAGGGUGAGGUCCCUGGUUCAAGUCCAGGAUGGCCCAUUCGAUGUUGGGGGUAUAGCUCAGUUGGUAGAGCGCCUGCUUUGCAAGCAGGAUGUCAGCGGUUCGAGUCCGCUUACCUCCACUGAUACACCUCCUGAUAGCGAAUUAAAAGGAGAUUAUCCGUGUUGGAAGUGAUUUAGAUUUCAGUUUCUAUUUGAAAGAACCUAGCUUCUUAUCAUUCCUAAUAGAAAUAUUAGGUUGUUAGGACGCUGGGCUCACUGCAUUCCAAGUGAAUGCAGAGAUGUUCAGUAGAACCUUGACAACUGCAUAGGUGAGUCUGGAAAGAAUAAAGCAUCUCAUAGAUGCAUUGUUUUUUUGGCCGUAUUUUUGAACUCUAGUUUAUUUAGAGUUUUUGAAUUAGGUUAAAAUUAAUGAUGUUAAUUCUUGAGCAAGAGUCGAGACUCUAUAACUUCUUUCAAUUUUUUUGAGAGUUUGAUUCUUUAUUGAUCAAUAACAAUUUUUGGGUUCUCUUGAAAUUGUUUUUUGCUUUCAAUCAAGAAAAAACGAGUUGUAGAGAUUUUAAU
RNAcentral lists this transfer RNA (767 nucleotides) under uncultured cyanobacterium. Its description in RNAcentral is "partial 16S-23S intergenic spacer". The stretch from base 253 to 325 matches the Rfam family "tRNA". Lineage: Bacteria; Bacillati; Cyanobacteriota. The record is from RNAcentral.